CAGUCGCCGCGGGAAUACGAAGGGGGCUAGCGUUGCUCGGAAUCACUGGGCGUAAAGGGUGCGUAGGCGGGUCCUUAAGUCAGGGGUGAAAUCCUGGAGCUCAACUCCAGAACUGCCUUUGAUACUGAAGAUCUUGAGUUCGGGAGAGGUGAGUGGAACUGCGAGUGUAGAGGUGAAAUUCGUAGAUAUUCGCAAGAACACCAGUGGCGAAGGCGGCUCACUGGCCCGAUACUGACGCUGAGGCACGAAAGCGUGGGGAGCAAACAGGAUUAGAUACCCCAGUAGUCCCUGUCUCUUAUAC
This 301-nucleotide ribosomal RNA is filed under the name uncultured bacterium. Its description in RNAcentral is "partial 16S ribosomal RNA". It matches the Rfam family "Bacterial small subunit ribosomal RNA", at positions 509 to 807 of the family's 1533-position model. The record is from RNAcentral.